CCUACGGGUGGCAGCAGUGAGGAAUAUUGGUCAAUGGCCGGAAGUCUGAACCAGCCAAGCCGCGUGAAGGACGAAGGUGCCAAGCAUUGUAAACUUCUUUUGUCAAGGGACAAAAUCAGGCUCGAGAGCCUGACCGAGGGUACUUGAAGAAAAAACAUCGGCUAACUCCGUGCCAGCAGCCGCGGUAAUACGGAGGAUGCGAGCAUUAUCCGGAUUUAUUGGGUUUAAAGGGUGCGUAGGCGGACUGUUAAGUCAGCGGUAAAAGCCCGGGGCUCAACCCCGGCGAGCCGUUGAAACUGGCUGUCUUGAGAUGUCGAGAGGUAUGCGGAAUGCGCAGUGUAGCGGUGAAAUGCUUAGAUAUUGCGCAGAACUCCGAUUGCGAAGGCAGCAUACCGGCGGCGAUCUGACGCUGAGGCACGAAAGCGUGGGUAUCGAACAGGAUUAGAUACCCGGGUAGUC
RNAcentral lists this ribosomal RNA (459 nucleotides) under uncultured bacterium. Its description in RNAcentral is "partial 16S ribosomal RNA". It matches the Rfam family "Bacterial small subunit ribosomal RNA", at positions 338 to 795 of the family's 1533-position model. The record is from RNAcentral.